GAUGAACGCUGGCGGCGUGCUUAACACAUGCAAGUCGAACGGAACUACUCCAAUGAGAGUCUUCGGAAAGGAUUUGGUUUAGUUUAGUGGCGGACGGGUGAGUAACGCGUGGGUAACCUGCCCUAUACAGGGGGAUAACAGUUGGAAACGACUGUUAAUACCGCAUAAGCGCACAGGAGCGCAUGCUCCGGUGUGAAAAACUCCGGUGGUAUAGGAUGGACCCGCGUCUGAUUAGCUGGUUGGCGGGGUAACGGCCCACCAAGGCAACGAUCAGUAGCCGGCCUGAGAGGGUGAACGGCCACAUUGGGACUGAGACACGGCCCAAACUCCUACGGGAGGCAGCAGUGGGGAAUAUUGCACAAUGGGGGAAACCCUGAUGCAGCGACGCCGCGUGAGCGAAGAAGUAUCUCGGUAUGUAAAGCUCUAUCAGCAGGGAAGAAAAUGACGGUACCUGACUAAGAAGCCCCGGCUAACUACGUG
Molecule: ribosomal RNA, 480 nt
Filed under: uncultured bacterium
Lineage: Bacteria
Description: partial 16S ribosomal RNA
Rfam family: Bacterial small subunit ribosomal RNA
Source: RNAcentral